Molecule: long non-coding RNA, 2662 nt
Filed under: Homo sapiens (human)
Lineage: Eukaryota; Metazoa; Chordata; Mammalia; Primates; Hominidae
Description: HSALNT0337693
Source: RNAcentral
UGGCCUUCAUCUUUCUCCCAUGCUGGAUGCUUCCUACCCUCAAACACUGGACUCCAAGUUCUUCAGCUUUUGGACUCUUAGACUUACACCAGUGGUUUGCCAGGGGCUCUAAGGCCUUUGGCCACAUACUGAAGGCUGCACUGCAGGCUUCCCUGCUUUUGAGGUUUUGGGACUCGGACUGGCUUCCUUGCUCCUCAGCUUGCAGAUGGCCUACUGUGGGACUUCACCUUGUGAUCAUACUCCUUUAAGGAUCUUUCCAAAGGUCUUCAAUUUUGAUAUAAGCAACAAAGAAUAAGAGUACUCAUGAUGUGUGACAAAUGGCAUGCCUCCUGCAAGAGUUAUGAGUUAUGUGCCUAAACAGGAAGGAUCAUCUCAUUGCAGAAUUAGGGCAUCAUCCAGUGGGAAGGGAGUUUCAAGGUCAUUUAGUCCAGCCUCCGAGUGAUACAGAAAUUCUCUUUGCAGCAUCCCUAUCACGUGGCCAUCAAACUUCUACUAGUGUAUUCAUCCACACCUGGUCUGUCUAAAACCUUGAGAACAGCCCCUUGUAUAGUUCAAUAGCCCCAGCUGAAGGAAAAGUUUUUGUUAUUUUCAGUAAACAUAUUCUGUUGUGUAACUUUGGUUGAUCGGUUCCCCUUUAGCGACCCAGAAAACACUGAGCUCCCUCUGACACCCAUGCCCUUUGACUGAAAGUCAGCCAUAAAAUAGAGCACCAGAGUAACUUUCCAGAGUCCCAGAUUUGCCCCUUCGCUCCACUGCAAAUCAAAUGUGUGACCUGUGUUUCAAUUCAAUUAGCCUUUUCCUAAGGGUUUCACUGUUUCUGUUCCUGUGAGUUUCUUUUUUAAAGAUCUGUAUUUGUAUAUUUCAAGUGGAAUUUUUUUUUUUUUUAGCAAACCACAACAUUUUAUUUUAAAUUGAGAGAUAUGGUUUGAUUUUUAUUUUUAUUGUGGAAAAUUUCAAACAUACAAGAGUAGAUAUAAUAUAGUAAUGAAUGCCUUAGUAUUUGUCACCCAGGUGUAAAUAUAUCAAAUUGUGGUCAGUCUUUUUUUUUUUGAGACGGAGUCUCGCUCUGUUGCCCAGGCUGGAGUGCUGGAGUGCAGUGGCGCCAUCUCGGCUCACUGCAAGCUCCGCCACCUGGGUUCACGCCAUUCUCCUGCCUCAGCCUCCCGAGUAGCUGGGACUACAGGCGCCCGCCACUACGCCUGGCUAAUUUUUUCUAUUUUUCAGUAGAGACGGGGUUUCACGGUGUUAGCCAGGAUGGUCUCGAUCUCCGGACCUCGUGAUCCGGCCGCCUUGGCCUCCCAGAGUGCUGGGAUUACAGGCGUGAGCCACUGCAGCCGGCCAGUCAAUCUUAUUUCGUCAUUACCCUCACCCCUGCUUUCUCCUCCCUGGAUUGUUUUGAAGCAAAUCCCACAUACCAUACAAUGUCAGCCGUACCUUCUCAUAUGAACCUGGGAGCAAAUUCUCCAAAUGACAAAAUCAAUGGAAGACAUUUGGGGGGCCUUGCCCUUAUAGUGGGUGCUGGAGUUACAAAGGUGAAUACAAUUGUGCCACGUUUCGGUCUUUUUGGAAAACACUACCCCUCAUGUGUCUGUAAAAAUUGACUCUUCUUUUUGUGCUAACACUUCCUUUUUUGGCCAAAAUCUUUCUAAAAAUAGACAGCAAGCCCCCUCCUGCUGCCUGUUUCUUAAACUUUCCUCUCAUGAAGGUGAGCUAGGAUUGUACAAUUACAAUGCUUUGAGAAUUUUGUUCCUUUUGAGCUGUCUUUACUUUUCAAAGCCUCUAGUCAUGCUAUUGGACCUAUCUUUUCCUCUAAUAAUUAAAAAAGUCUCUAUAUUGUGUUAUUCUCUGUCUUUUCAUCCCAGUUUACUAUGAUUAACGUGGUUACCAUCUCCCCAGGUUCUUCCCGUUCAUUUACCUUCACCAUUUCAUUUCACCUUGCAUUUCUUCCCAGUUGCUCAGACUUCACUUCACAGUAGUAAUUUUCUUUUUCUUUUUUUGUACCUUCUGAAAGGGCAGUCUAAUGACAAAGUCAGUCGAUAAUUGCUCAGAAGAUCUGUAUUCACCAGAAAGAGUCUUUCUGCUGAUAUUCAGAAGAUCAAAUUUUAAGCUCAGCAUGAACCAAGAUCCAGUUACACUGCACACACACAAACGGAAAAACCACCAUAGUAUGUAUGAGGGAAAGAUCAGACCAUACAAUCAUUAUGUGAUAAUGUAUUAAUAAUAGAUGGUAUAAUGAACCAAAAAUUAGCUUGGCAACACUCCCAGGUACUUUUCAUAAAAUAAUUUCCAUAACCUGCUUUGCCUAUGAAGAAGGGAACACAUUAUCCCACAAUUACUUGGGGGUGGAAUGAUUAGCGUGGGUCCAGGACGCGGCCCGGGGACUCUGUGGUUGGCCUUACACCUUUCCAGACAACGUCCUUGGCCUCUCCCCUACUACAGCAUGUGUAGCUGUGUGUGGGAUGGAGGCUAAAAGCCUGGUUAUGCUCCACAGAAUGAAUUCUUAUGUCCCUGAGCUCUUCUCAGAAAACAUGCAGGGAGUCUCUGCCAGCUGCAGAAGUUCAGCUCCUAGGAAGAGGGGAUGAAUUUCUGUGUUUUAUUUCAAUGGUGUAGCAUGAGUGUGCAGAGCCAACAGUAUGAUAACUGGUGGUCCUCACGUAUGUCU